UACACUCCUACGGGAGGCAGCAGUGGGGAAUAUUGCACAAUGGGCGCAAGCCUGAUGCAGCCAUGCCGCGUGUGUGAAGAAGGCCUUCGGGUUGUAAAGCACUUUCAGCGGGGAGGAAGGCAAUGCGGUUAAUAACCGUGUUGAUUGACGUUACCCGCAGAAGAAGCACCGGCUAACUCCGUGCCAGCAGCCGCGGUAAUACGGAGGGUGCAAGCGUUAAUCGGAAUUACUGGGCGUAAAGCGCACGCAGGCGGUCUGUCAAGUCGGAUGUGAAAUCCCCGGGCUCAACCUGGGAACUGCAUUCGAAACUGGCAGGCUUGAGUCUUGUAGAGGGGGGUAGAAUUCCAGGUGUAGCGGUGAAAUGCGUAGAGAUCUGGAGGAAUACCGGUGGCGAAGGCGGCCCCCUGGACAAAGACUGACGCUCAGGUGCGAAAGCGUGGGGAGCAAACAGGAUUAGAAACCCUAGUAGUCCCAUGA
This 477-nucleotide ribosomal RNA is filed under the name uncultured organism. Its description in RNAcentral is "partial 16S ribosomal RNA". It matches the Rfam family "Bacterial small subunit ribosomal RNA", at positions 332 to 800 of the family's 1533-position model. The record is from RNAcentral.